AGUGAACGCUGGCGGUAGGCCUAACACAUGCAAGUCGAACGGCAGCACAGUAAGAGCUUGCUCUUACGGGUGGCGAGUGGCGGACGGGUGAGGAAUACAUCGGAAUCUACUUUUUCGUGGGGGAUAACGUAGGGAAACUUACGCUAAUACCGCAUACGACCUACGGGUGAAAGCAGGGGAUCUUCGGACCUUGCGCGUUUGAUUGAGCCGAUGUCGGAUUAGCUAGUUGGCGGGGUAAAGGCCCACCAAGGCGACGAUCCGUAGCUGGUCUGAGAGGAUGAUCAGCCACACUGGAACUGAGACACGGUCCAGACUCCUACGGGAGGCAGCAGUGGGGAAUAUUGGACAAUGGGCGCAAGCCUGAUCCAGCCAUACCGCGUGGGUGAAGAAGGCCUUCGGGUUGUAAAGCCCUUUUGUUGGGAAAGAAAAGCAGCAGGUUAAGACCCCGCUGUUCUGACGGUACCCAAAGAAUAAGCACCGGCUAACUUCGU
This 491-nucleotide ribosomal RNA is filed under the name uncultured bacterium. Its description in RNAcentral is "partial 16S ribosomal RNA". It matches the Rfam family "Bacterial small subunit ribosomal RNA", at positions 29 to 506 of the family's 1533-position model. The record is from RNAcentral.